GCUAGUUGCUAACCCGUAGCCAGCAGUGAACGAGCUUCGUUAUGUAGGUCCAUUCUUACUGUAUCGGCAUUACAGAAGUCUCUCGUUAGCAUCUUGCAGGCUACUUAUCGCAAAGCGACGCAUGUGCGACUCACAUCUGCACUUGACUCGCAUCGGGUAG
Etheostoma spectabile (orangethroat darter) is the source of this 160-nucleotide long non-coding RNA. RefSeq lists it as uncharacterized. The transcript is spliced from 3 exons. The record is from RefSeq and is a predicted model, not a curated record. NCBI's taxonomy places the organism in Eukaryota, Metazoa, Chordata, Actinopteri, Perciformes, Percidae.